Molecule: ribosomal RNA, 465 nt
Filed under: Vreelandella stevensii
Lineage: Bacteria; Pseudomonadati; Pseudomonadota; Gammaproteobacteria; Oceanospirillales; Halomonadaceae
Description: partial 16S ribosomal RNA
Rfam family: Bacterial small subunit ribosomal RNA
Source: RNAcentral
CCUACGGGAGGCAGCAUUGGGGAAUAUUGGACAAUGGGCGAAAGCCUGAUCCAGCCAUGCCGCGUGUGUGAAGAAGGCCUUCGGGUUGUAAAGCACUUUCAGUGGGGAAGAAAGCCUUGGGGCUAAUACCCUCGAGGAAGGACAUCACCCACAGAAGAAGCACCGGCUAACUCCGUGCCAGCAGCCGCGGUAAUACGGAGGGUGCGAGCGUUAAUCGGAAUUACUGGGCGUAAAGCGCGCGUAGGCGGUCUGAUAAGCCGGUUGUGAAAGCCCCGGGCUCAACCUGGGAACGGCAUCCGGAACUGUCAGGCUAGAGUGCAGGAGAGGAAGGUAGAAUUCCCGGUGUAGCGGUGAAAUGCGUAGAGAUCGGGAGGAAUACCAGUGGCGAAGGCGGCCUUCUGGACUGACACUGACGCUGAGGUGCGAAAGCGUGGGUAGCAAACAGGAUUAGAUACCCGGGUAGUC